This is a long non-coding RNA of Manis javanica (Malayan pangolin), 2550 nucleotides long. RefSeq lists it as uncharacterized. NCBI's taxonomy places the organism in Eukaryota, Metazoa, Chordata, Mammalia, Pholidota, Manidae. The record is from RefSeq and is a predicted model, not a curated record.
UCUACAUGUUUGUCACUGUGGUUGACAAUACCUCUAACUGUAUGGAUUUCUUUUUUCCAUUUUUCAGCAGAACUAAGGGAAAUAGCAAAAUAAAUAGUUUCUCCCGUGCUUUAGGAAUUGUCUGAGACAUUUUGCAGGUGCUGUGAUACACAAUCUCAAAACUACCCUAUGAGUAGUAUUAGAACCAGUUUGAAAAGGACUGAGGCUGAGGUAAACUCAGGAAAUUUGGCUUGACCACCCAGUCAACGGGUCCUUGAGUCAGACUCGAGCUGGGCAUUGCCUGCUUCAAAGAAUGUGCAUAUUUAUUUUUCACCAUACCAUUUUUUUUGUAGUGGUACUGAAAGAUAUUUCAUCCACAGAGAGAGUCUAAAAGAUGCUGUGGGAAGCAGAAAUAGAUCAGAUGAACAAACCCCAGUUUAUUUGGAGUAUUAAAACAGGCUGAGCAUUCAUGUACCCAUUUCUUUAUGUGAUGCUUACGUCCACAAACCACAAUCCCCUUCUAAUAUCUGCAUGUCCUGCUGUUUUCAAAAGAAUAAAAGUAUAGGAUUGUAUUGAUCUUGUCGUGUUUUGGGAUGAUCACAGACUGUCAUUGAGAUCUGUUUAAAUUAAUCAUUUCUCCCAGAUAUCCCACAGCGAUCCCUGCCUCCUGCCCUUACGUAAAAACCAAUAGGAUUUUACAGAAAUGAUGGUAUGUGACUUCUCAUGCCAGGUCAUAAAAGGCUUUGGGGCUUCCUCCUUAUUCUUUUACUUGGAUUACAUGCUUUGCGGGGACGUCACCAGCUAUACAAUGAGGAUCUCAAGUUUCCCUUUUGAGAGGUCCAUAGGUGAAGAACUGCAUCUCCUGCUGGUUGUCGGCCCCUGCUUGCCAGCAACGUGAAUGAGCCACCUGAAUGGGCCCUCCGGCCACAGCCGAGCCUUCGCAUGACCCCACUCCCAGCAGACCCUUCGGCUGUAACCCCUUGAGAGGCUCUGAGCCAGGGCUGCCGAGUCAAGUCACAAAGUGCCAACGAGUGCUCGCUUCAUGCUGCUGGAAAUCAAAACACAACAGUCCUGCCUUUCAAGGAGGGCUUAAUUUUCAGUGGAUUAUGGACACAAAGACAGAUCAUUGCAAUGUCAUGUGGUACCUCGUGUAAUGAAUCCACGACAUGAGAGCACAGAUGCUGUUCCUGGUUCUUAUUUUCAAAUAUUUUUGCUCUUUUUACAGGUCUGCUUAAUAUUUUAGUUUUCUGGCUAUCAGCCACUCAGUCUCAUUUGAAAGGAAUCUAAAAAUUUGUACAUUUCCCAAUCAGGUGCAGAGUUAAUGUGCUGAAGUUUCCUUAGAUUGUGCUUGUUUUUCUCCUGUCCCCUGUGGGUGAGGACAUAUGGAAGACCUCAGCUGAGUUUCAGGGAGACCUGGCUGUGACAUCUGUCACCUUGCUGGGCUGGGGAGAGCCAUGGAGAGCAAAGUUGUAUAACUCUUUAUUGAUGUACAUCAUUUGUACCAACGGCUCAUAGAUUGCUGGAGGGAAAACGCUUAUUCAAAGUAAUUGUGUCCAAUCCUAUCAUUAUAAACAUGAGAAUCUGAGACCUAGGACACUUGAUAGGUUUAUCCAAAAAUCGUACCUAGAAAGCAACUCACAUUUUGGAGGCACAUUCUUUGAAAGUGUGCAAAACAAUGUGGUUUUGUAGAAAGAAAAUAGAUUUUGCAGUUAGACAGACAUGGCUCUGCAUCCCAGCUCUGCUUUCUUUGGAGGAUGUGACCUUGUUGACAGGGCUGUUGCUUGGAUAUAGAUCAUUUAUGUACAAUACUUCACACAUUAUAGACCCACAGUAGAAGUUAGUUCCACCAAUGACCAGAGGGAUAAUGUCUGGAGAAGGACUCUGUAACCUACACAUUGCAAACCAGUAUGAGGCAUGAUAAUCCAUUUUCUUAAUUGAUUAACAGAGUUAUAUCUGGGAGCCUUGUAAAUGCAUGCUGGCAACCCUUCCUUUGAGUGCUGAUUUUAAUCUCCAAGUUGAAAGGGAUUUGUGCUUUCCUACUCUGCAUUUAUAUUUAAAAGAAAAAGUCAAGUUGAGCUAUAGACAUCCUUUCAUACUGUUUCCAGAGACCAGGUCCUAAAACUUUUCUUUCCCUUCAAACAGGGAGUCCAGGCUAUAGCCAAACAUUUUGGAAUAAGAGCUACUUCUCAGGUCAUCUGGACCCUAGGUCAUUCUCCCUGCAAACAGCCUACUAUUGUAUACUGGAGAAAUGAGUUCCUCUUGCCCUUUAAUGUCCUCUACAAAUCAUAAGAAUCAACCUUUGCAUAGGACCUGGUAGUUCAUGAGCGCUUUAAUGGUUAUAUACUCAUUUUGAUCCUCCAAAUAACCUCAUUGAAUAGAUAGGGGAAAGACAAUUAUCUCUCCCAUUUUCCAAAUAAAAGUUAUCAGUAAACAUCUGCAUUAUUAGAGUACUUUAUUGACCAUCAAUGCAUAUUCUUCAGUAUUAUUUGUUACUGUCAGACACAUGAGCCCAAAUAUUUGGAUAAGCUUCCAUGAUCUGAAUCCUACAUCCCUCUUUGCUUCAUCUCCUGC